This 253-nucleotide ribosomal RNA is filed under the name uncultured bacterium. RNAcentral describes it as "partial 16S ribosomal RNA". It matches the Rfam family "Bacterial small subunit ribosomal RNA", at positions 524 to 776 of the family's 1533-position model. The record is from RNAcentral.
UACGAGUGCUCCAAGCGUUAUCCGGAAUCAUUGGGCGUAAAGGGUGUGUAGGUGGUAGUGUUAGUCUUCUGUUAAAUUCUUCGGCUUAACCGGGGGCAUGCAGGGGAAACGGCACAACUAGAGGAUGCGAGAGGUACAUGGAACUCAUGGAGUAGGGGUGAAAUCCGUUGAUAUCAUGGGGAACACCAAAAGCGAAGGCAAUGUACUGGCGCACUCCUGACACUGAAACACGAAAGCGUAGGUAGCGAAUGGG